UUGUUGGGCCUUGGUCAAGGUUGAUUUGACUUUGUUGAGUUAAUAUCAUUGGAUUUAGGGGAUUGAUGGAAUGUAAAUUCCAUCUCCCAAAAUGAAUGAAUAAUAUUAACUUGGUAAAAGUCUUCCUUUGAUCAAUUUGUGUUUUGAUCCAUUAUCCUCCCAUUUCAUCUCAUUCCCCUUCUUCAUUCAUUCAUUCCAUUUGGCCUAUGAUAUCUCAAAAUCCUAAGGCUAGUU
Molecule: long non-coding RNA, 234 nt
Filed under: Lathyrus oleraceus (garden pea)
Lineage: Eukaryota; Viridiplantae; Streptophyta; Magnoliopsida; Fabales; Fabaceae
Description: Pisum sativum (pea) long non-coding RNA (PSAT_LNC034974)
Source: RNAcentral